RNAcentral lists this ribosomal RNA (498 nucleotides) under uncultured bacterium. RNAcentral's name for it is "partial 16S ribosomal RNA". It matches the Rfam family "Bacterial small subunit ribosomal RNA", at positions 29 to 507 of the family's 1533-position model. The record is from RNAcentral.
AGCGAACGCUGGCGGCGUGCCUAACACAUGCAAGUCGAACGUGAAAAGGGAAACCUGAGUACAGUGGCGUACGGGUGAGUAACGCGUAGGUAAUCUACCCCAGAAUCUGGAAUAACCUGCCGAAAGGCGGGCUAAUACUGGAUAGAGCGAGGGAACUCGUAAGAGAGUUUUUCGGGAAAGGGAGCCCGCAAGGGCCUUCGUUCUGGGAUGAGCCUGCGUCUCAUUAGCCAGUUGGUAAGGUAACGGCUUACCAAGGCGAUGAUGAGUAGCUGGUCUGAGAGGAUGAUCAGCCACACUGGAACUGAAACACGGUCCAGACUCCUACGGGAGGCAGCAGUGGGGAAUCUUGCGCAAUGGACGAAAGUCUGACGCAGCCACGCCGCGUGAGUGAAGAAGGCCUUCGGGUUGUAAAGCUCUGUCGGAUGGGACGAACAUCUUCAUAGUGAAUAGCUAUGAGGACUGACGGUACCAUCAAAGGAAGCACCGGCUAACUCCGUG